UACGUAGGGGGCAAGCGUUGUCCGGAAUUAUUGGGCGUAAAGCGCGCGCAGGCGGUGGAUUAAGUUUGGUGUAUAAUCCCGGGGCUCAACCCCGGAUCGCACUGAAAACUGGUUGACUUGAGUGCGGGAGAGGAAAGUGGAAUUCCACGUGUAGCGGUGAAAUGCGUAGAGAUGUGGAGGAACACCAGUGGCGAAGGCGACUCUUUGGCCUGUAACUGACGCUGAGGCGCGAAAGCGUGGGGAGCAAACAGG
This 252-nucleotide ribosomal RNA is filed under the name uncultured bacterium. RNAcentral's name for it is "partial 16S ribosomal RNA". It matches the Rfam family "Bacterial small subunit ribosomal RNA", at positions 524 to 776 of the family's 1533-position model. The record is from RNAcentral.